This 172-nucleotide unclassified non-coding RNA is filed under the name soil metagenome. RNAcentral's name for it is "partial internal transcribed spacer 1". The record is from RNAcentral.
CAGAGUUGCAAAACUCCCCAACCCUUGUGAAUCUUACCCGUACGGUUGCCUCGGCUGGGUCGGAAGGCCUCGGGCCCCCGGAUCCGGGUCUCCGCUCAGGGAGGCUGCCCGCCGGAGGCCGAACCAAACUCUUGAUAUUUUAUGUCUCUCUGAGUAACUUAUAAAUAAGUCA